ACAAAAAUAUAGGAGGGGUUAAGUUUUUCCUUUGAUUCAAAGAUUUUAUUUUUAAAAUACCAUUUUAUCAACAUCCUGCUAUAGAUAUUUCAAGAGACAACAGAAAAAGUAGUAGUAACAAAAACUCUUGUGGCCAAAUCAUCCUCCUAUCUGGGCUGGCUGCUGGGCAGACCCUGCUGGGGUUUCGUUCACCUGUGUGCAGAUAACUUCAUUUCUAGGACGGAUUUUUAGGUUUUGUAUGUGAAACUCUUAAGAGCAACAUGAUGUUUGUAGUAGCUGUUAGUGUGGGUAAAGUCACCUGCUCACCUAAGGCUGUGGAGGUCUCAGAAUUGACUACAAUGAUAAAUUAAUAUUACUUGUGGAUGAUUUUAGACCUUUUAAAGUUAGGUAUAAAAUACAGUAAUGCAAAGUAAAAGUUCAAAUGUGUAACAAACACUUCCAUUAAAAAAAUGGAUAAAGCAAAACACAUAAACUUCUGUUACAAAUAGUAGGGAAGGGGUUGGGAUUUAGCUCAGUGGUAGAGCGCUUGCCUAGCAGGCGCAAGGCCCUGGGUUUGGUCCUCAGCUCUGGGGUGUGGUGGGGUGAG
Molecule: long non-coding RNA, 586 nt
Filed under: Rattus norvegicus (Norway rat)
Lineage: Eukaryota; Metazoa; Chordata; Mammalia; Rodentia; Muridae
Description: long non-coding RNA NONRATT029301
Source: RNAcentral